Molecule: ribosomal RNA, 256 nt
Filed under: uncultured archaeon
Lineage: Archaea
Description: partial 16S ribosomal RNA
Rfam family: Bacterial small subunit ribosomal RNA
Source: RNAcentral
UAAUACGGAGGGUGCAAGCGUUAAUCGGAAUUACUGGGCGUAAAGCGUGCGUAGGCGGCUCGCUAAGUCAGAUGUGAAAGCCCUGGGCUCAACCUGGGAACGGCAUUUGAAACUGGCAAGCUAGAGUUUAAGAGAGGUAAGUGGAAUUUCAGGUGUAGCGGUGAAAUGCGUAGAGAUCUGAAGGAACACCAGUGGCGAAGGCGACUUACUGGCUUAAAACUGACGCUGAGGUACGAAAGCGUGGGUAGCAAACAGG